AGUAUUCAAUAACCGCAUGGUUUAUGGAUUAAAGCUGCGGCGCCUAAAGAUGGUCGUGCGUCUGAUUAGCUAGUUGGUAGGGUAACGGCCUACCAAGGCUACGAUCAGUAGGGGGCGUGAGAGCGUGGCCCCCCACACGGGUACUGAGACACGGACCCGACUCCUACGGGAGGCAGCAGUAAGGAAUAUUGGACAAUGGUCGGAAGACUGAUCCAGCCAUGCCGCGUGAAGGAUGAAGGCGCUCAGCGUUGUAAACUUCUUUUGUACGGGAACAAAAUGCGACCUGCGGGUUGUACUGAGGGUACCGUAAGAAUAAGCACCGGCUAACUCCGUG
RNAcentral lists this ribosomal RNA (334 nucleotides) under uncultured bacterium. RNAcentral's name for it is "bacterial SSU rRNA". It matches the Rfam family "Bacterial small subunit ribosomal RNA", at positions 173 to 507 of the family's 1533-position model. The record is from RNAcentral.